AGGUUAUGAUGUGGACAUCUCCUCAAAAGGUCCUUCAACCUCUCCCAUGUUUCGAACAAUGACUCAACAUUGAUUUGAGUAAAUGAAAUGAUCUCUUUCCAUAGAUU
This is a small nucleolar RNA of Dioscorea cayenensis subsp. rotundata (Guinea yam), 107 nucleotides long. The record is from RefSeq and is a predicted model, not a curated record. Lineage: Eukaryota; Viridiplantae; Streptophyta; Magnoliopsida; Dioscoreales; Dioscoreaceae.